Molecule: ribosomal RNA, 253 nt
Filed under: uncultured bacterium
Lineage: Bacteria
Description: partial 16S ribosomal RNA
Rfam family: Bacterial small subunit ribosomal RNA
Source: RNAcentral
UACGUAUGGUGCGAGCGUUGUCCGGAUUUACUGGGCGUGAAGGGGGCGCAGGCGGCGCGCCAAGCCCGAUGUGAAAGCCCGGGGCUCAACCCCGGGACUGCAUUGGGAACUGGCGUGCUGGAGUGCCGGAGGGGCAGGCGGAAUUCCUGGUGUAGCGGUGAAAUGCGUAGAUAUCAGGAGGAACACCGGUGGCGAAGGCGGCCUGCUGGACGGAUACUGACGCUGAGGCCCGAAAGCGUGGGGAGCGAACUGG